GAGCGACAGAUAAGGAGCUUGCUCCUUUGACGUUAGCGGCGGACGGGUGAGUAACACGUGGGUAACCUACCUAUAAGACUGGAAUAACUCCGGGAAACCGGGGCUAAUGCCGGAUAACAUAUAGAACCGCAUGGUUCUAUAGUGAAAGAUGGUUUUGCUAUCACUUAUAGAUGGACCCGCGCCGUAUUAGCUAGUUGGUAAGGUAAUGGCUUACCAAGGCGACGAUACGUAGCCGACCUGAGAGGGUGAUCGGCCACACUGGAACUGAGACACGGUCCAGACUCCUACGGGAGGCAGCAGUAGGGAAUCUUCCGCAAUGGGCGAAAGCCUGACGGAGCAACGCCGCGUGAGUGAUGAAGGGUUUCGGCUCGUAAAACUCUGUUAUUAGGGAAGAACAUAUGUGUAAGUAACUGUGCACAUCUUGACGGUACCUAAUCAGAAAGCCACGGCUAACUACGUGCCAGCAGCCGCGGUAAUACGUAGGUGGCAAGCGUUAUCCGGAAUUAUUGGGCGUAAAGCGCGCGUAGGCGGUUUCUUAAGUCUGAUGUGAAAGCCCACGGCUCAACCGUGGAGGGUCAUUGGAAACUGGGAAACUUGAGUGCAGAAGAGGAAAGUGGAAUUCCAUGUGUAGCGGUGAAAUGCGCAGAGAUAUGGAGGAACACCAGUGGCGAAGGCGACUUUCUGGUCUGUAACUGA
This 696-nucleotide ribosomal RNA is filed under the name Staphylococcus gallinarum. Its description in RNAcentral is "bacterial SSU rRNA". It matches the Rfam family "Bacterial small subunit ribosomal RNA", at positions 64 to 743 of the family's 1533-position model. The record is from RNAcentral. Lineage: Bacteria; Bacillati; Bacillota; Bacilli; Caryophanales; Staphylococcaceae.